AUUGAACGCUGGCGGCGUGCCUAACACAUGCAAGUCGCACGCGAAAGGGGGCAACCCCAAGUAGAGUGGCGGACGGGUGAGUAACGCGUAGGAAUCUACCUAGUAGUGGGGGACAACCCGGCGAAAGCCGGGCUAAUACCGCAUACGACCUAAGGGUGAAAGCAGGGGAUCGCAAGACCUUGCGCUAUUAGAUGAGCCUGCGUCCGAUUAGCUAGUUGGUGAGGUAACGGCUCACCAAGGCGACGAUCGGUAACUGGUUUGAGAGAACGACCAGUCACAUUGGGACUGAGACACGGCCCAAACUCCUACGGGAGGCAGCAGUGGGGAAUAUUGGACAAUGGGGGCAACCCUGAUCCAGCGACGCCGCGUGUGUGAAGAAGGCCUUCGGGUUGUAAAGCACUUUCGGCAGGGACAAACAAGACGGAGCUAACAUCUCCGUUCCUGAUGGUACCUGAAGAAGAAGCACCGGCUAACUCUGUGCCAGCAGCCGCCGCCG
Molecule: ribosomal RNA, 496 nt
Filed under: uncultured bacterium
Lineage: Bacteria
Description: partial 16S ribosomal RNA
Rfam family: Bacterial small subunit ribosomal RNA
Source: RNAcentral